AGGCUGUGGGUCUGUCCCCUUCCCUUGUGUUGCCAAUGAGUUCUGUCCCUGACUGAGGUGCUCUUCUAGAUGGUAGCUCUUUAGGGCAGUAGCUGAACAUGUCCAGUGGAUAGAUGGCCUGCAGCUGCCUGUUCAUCAAGCCACUGUGUUCCGUGGACAGAGGGUGAGCUUUUGCUCUUCCCGGGACUCUGGCUCAGUGUCCAUCACUCUCAGCUCCCAGGGCUGGGGUGCUGCUGCUGGUCUGUGCCACCACAUCACAACCAUUUCCAAAAACAGCUCUGCACACAUAAUUACCGGUCCAGUCCUCAGCUGUCUCCAGACCCCAAAUUAAAAGGGAACACCCACAGAGGCGACCACACUAAGCCUACCGAGGUGAAAAAAUAAUUCCCAGAGGAUGUAAGCAAGGACCAAUUCCUCCAGAAGAAACUCAAGGAUGUGGUUCAUGAUGACACAUCCCCUCUUGCCUGAAGGGAGGAGGCAGCUUCUGUGAGGUGGUGGCCUGAGUGUUGCUCUCCUCCAUGACUCAUCCCUAGAGGAAUCCCCAGCAGCAGGAAAAGAACCAGGAAAGAUGUGGGCUGGCUGUGACCCCAGAUCUGACAGGCAGAAAAAAAGCCAAACCUCCUAAGACAUGUAGCAGCAUUCAAACUGAGGAAAGCUGGGGAAGGUUGUC
Mastomys coucha (southern multimammate mouse) is the source of this 670-nucleotide long non-coding RNA. RefSeq lists it as uncharacterized. The transcript is spliced from 3 exons. The record is from RefSeq and is a predicted model, not a curated record. Lineage: Eukaryota; Metazoa; Chordata; Mammalia; Rodentia; Muridae.